RNAcentral lists this ribosomal RNA (301 nucleotides) under uncultured bacterium. Its description in RNAcentral is "partial 16S ribosomal RNA". It matches the Rfam family "Bacterial small subunit ribosomal RNA", at positions 509 to 808 of the family's 1533-position model. The record is from RNAcentral.
CAGUCGCCACGGGAAUACGUAUGUCACAAGCGUUAUCCGGAUUUAUUGGGCGUGAAGCGAGCGCAGGCGGCUAGAUAAGUCUGAAGCUAAAGGCUGUGGCUUAACCAUAGUACGCUUUGGAAACUGUUUAACUUGAGUGCAAGAGGGGAGAGUGGAAUUCCAUGUGUAGCGGUGAAAUGCGUAGAUAUAUGGAGGAACACCGGUGGCGAAAGCGGCUCUCUGGCUUGUAACUGACGCUGAGGCUCGAAAGCGUGGGGAGCAAACAGGAUUAGAUACCCCUGUAGUCCCUGUCUCUUAUACA